AUACCAGCUCUCCGAGUGGUGUGGAUGUUUAUUGGGCCUAAAGCAUCCGUAGCUGGCUAAGUUAGUCCCUUGUUAAAUCCACCGAAUUAAUCGUUGGAUUGCGGGGGAUACUGCUUGGCUAGGGGACGAGAGAGGCAGACGGUAUUUUCGGGGUAGGGGUGAAAUCCUAUAAUCCCGGGAAGACCACCAGUGGCGAAGGCUGUCUGCUAGAACGCGCCCGACGGUGAGGGAUGAAAGCUGGGGGAGC
Molecule: ribosomal RNA, 247 nt
Filed under: uncultured bacterium
Lineage: Bacteria
Description: partial 16S ribosomal RNA
Rfam family: Archaeal small subunit ribosomal RNA
Source: RNAcentral